This 406-nucleotide ribosomal RNA is filed under the name uncultured bacterium. RNAcentral's name for it is "partial 16S ribosomal RNA". It matches the Rfam family "Bacterial small subunit ribosomal RNA", at positions 30 to 526 of the family's 1533-position model. The record is from RNAcentral.
AUUGAACGCUGGCGGCAGGCCUAACACAUGCAAGUCGAACGAGUGGCGGACGGGUGAGUAAUGUCUGGGAAACUGCCUGAUGGAGGGGGAUAACUACUGGAAAAGGUAGCUAAUACCGCAUACCAUCAGAUGUGCCCAGAUGGGAUUAGCUAGUAGGUGGGGUAACGGCUAACCUAGGCGACGAUCCCUAGCUGGUCUGAGAGGAUGACCAGCCACACUGGAACGGAGACACGGUCAAGACUCCUACGGGAGGCAGCAGUGGGGAAUAUUGCACAAUGGGCGCAAGCCUGAUGCAGCAAUGCCGCGUGUGUGAUGAAGGCCUUCGGGUUGUAAAGCACUUUCAGCGGGGAGGCGUUACCCGAAGAAGAAGCACCGGCUAACUCCGUGCCAGCAGCCGCGGUAAUAC